CCUCACUGCCCUCGGUCACGGUUCACAGGCCCCUUCGGAGAGGAAGGGAUUCCACAGAGACUCAGCCUUGCAGCAGCUGCCUGUGCCUACAGUGUGGUUUGAAGGGAGAGGUUCACCAUUUGUGAAGAUGGCGGCUGGGCCCAGUGCAUCUCUGGGGGCUCGGGCAGCCAGUGCUGCCAUGAGAACUAUCUCUGGAGGACACACAGGAGGCCUGGACUCUGAGGUAAGGGGCUGCCAAGCUCAGACCAGAGGAACCCCCACACUGCAGAGGCCACCUGACAAUGCUAAUGUCCACUUGAACAGCAGUGAGACAUCACGCACGCUAACACAUUGCACACUAACACACAUCACACACGAAAACACAUCACACAAGCACACAUCACGCACGCUAACACACAUCACACACUAACACACAUCACACACUAACACACAUCACACGUGCUAAAACACAUCACACAAGCACACAUCACACACACAAAAACACAUCACACAAGCACACAUCACACACGCUAACACACAUCACACACUAACACACAUCACACACUAACACACAUCACACGUGCUAAAACACGUCACACAAGCACACAUCACACACACUAACACAUCACACACACAAAAACACAUCACACAAGCACACAUCACACACGCUAACACACAUCACACACUAACACACAUCACACGUGCUAAAACACAUCACAAGCACACAUCACACACACUAACACAUCACACAAGCACACAUCACACACGCUAACACACAUCACACACUAACACACACAUCACACACUAACACACAUCACACGUGCUAAAACACAUCACACAAGCACACAUCACACACACUAACAAUCACACACACGAAAACACAUCACACAAGCACACAUCACACACGCUAACACACAUCACACAAACACACAUCACACAUGCUAACAGGUAACACAUUAACACAUCACACACUAACACAUCACACAUGCCAAAACACAUCACACAUACUAACACACCACACCAACACACACCACACCCACCAACACACACCACACCCACUAACACACAUCACACAUGCUAACACAUCACACACGCUAACACCACAGGCGGAUGCAGGAACAACAGGCUCCUGCGGCCCAGCCUGAGCCAGCAGCUGGGCAUCUCUGAGCCGGAGACCAGCUCCCACCGUGCCUUUCCCUGGCCCAGGCACCAGCAGCAGCCCUCAGAACCUGAGGCCCAGACCGGUGGGUGCAGCCUGGUCCCAGUGCUGCGGCACCCACAGCUGUGAGACAGACCUUCGGGGAGGGACCUCCAGCCGGCCCACGCGCCUCACACUGGACAGAGGGGAGUGUCCCUGGACACAGACCCCCGGCUCUGAACUGGACACAGGGAACAUCUCCGGACACAGACCCCCGGCUCCAAACUGGACACAGGGAACAUCUCCGCACACACCCCCCGGCCCUGAACUGGACACAGGGAACAUCUCCGCACACAGACCCCCUGGCCCCGAACUGGACACAGGGAACAUCUCCAGACACAAACCCCCGGCUCUGAACUGGACACAGGGAACAUCUCCGCACAGACCCCCUGGCCCUGAACUGGACACAGGGAACAUCCCUGGACACAGACCUCCUGGCUCUGGGCUGCAUGAUGAGGGACAAAGGCAGCCACCUCUGGUUCCUAAGGCGGAGGAGCCGCUGGCGUUCCCAGCACUGCCGGAGCUGGGGUGGGCUGCAGGGGCAAGGACCGCCCCGCCUGACCCCGCUGGAGAAGGCAGGCCGCACGGACCACAGAAGCGGCAGCAUCGCGCUGGCCGUUUUCAGGCUGAAGGCAGGAGGGCAUCCCAGGGAUUUGCUUUUUGAAGCCGAGUUGUGUUGAUUUGAAGCCACUUUCUCUUCCACGCUGUUUGUAUCCACAGAACAGGCCGUCAGCCCAGAGGUGUCACCACGCACCGCCUGCCCCAGGCCCUGCCCCGUGCCGCACCCAGUGCUAUGAGGAGUGCUAAGUAUUGCCUCCUGAAGACAGGACUCUCGGGCUGCUCUCAGGAGGGAGUGUGUGCGGGGCUCGGGCGGUGGCAGCCGCUGAGCAGGGACUUCCCGGCCUUCCCUGCAUUGGGGAGGCUGCAUGGGCGUGUCUGGCCAACGGAACCUGACUUCCCGAGGUCCAUUAUCUCAGGUCCAGCCCCCAGGAGCCCUCCUAGCACCCCACCUCCUUCUCUUUCCUCCUCUGCUGACCUGGAGCAGAGGGGCCGGGGAGGAGCCCCAGGUGCCGGGGACAGGAGCCCUGUGCAGACCAAAAUAUUUUAAAGUUUUCUACUUCCUGCCCUGGGUCUGGUUCUGGGCCACUCCCGUGUGGGAGAGUCACGCCCUUGGUGGCCUGAGGGCGUCACUCACAUUCAAGUGUGGGUAACUGGAAGGCUGGCUGGCGCCCUGAGAGAGGGUGGGGCCUGGCUGUCUCAUGACCUCUGCAGGGACAGGGCCAAAGGGUUUUCUCCUGACACGUCAGUUUCUCUGGAGAAGAAUCUGGCCCCUUCCUGCCUAGGAAAGAUGGUGCUGCCUCUGUGUCAGCAUGGGCCUCUCCUGGCCCUCCCCACGGCUGCUGUCUCAGAAACCACAGCCCCCAGGACCAUUUUUCUCAGGUUAAACCUCCUUCCAAGGCGGGAGUGGGCAUUCACAGACAUGCUCUCCUGACUCUGAAGUUGGGGAAAGAGCCGUUCUCCUUCAGGCUUAUUCUGUUCAUGGUAAUCACAGCCACAUUGAGCCCCAGACAUUAUCAUGCUUCUCUGCUUCUUCCCAAAGUGCGCUGAGGCUGCGGCUCGCAGUGGCGUGAGGGUCGUACCCAUCUGCAGGGGCCUGGUGCAGCCCAUACCUGAUGUUUGCGUCCAGGCAGGCCGUUUGUGCUGGCGUGAGAUGGACUCCAGCGAGGCUGUUGUGCUGGGCUUGGGAGUGUGACCUCGGUUGGAAUUGCAGAGUCAGUCUGAGAGAAUCUGUGCCUGGAGUCCAGGAGAGUGCAGGGGGAUGCUUUGUCCACCCUGUGGCUCAGCCUGGCCCUGUGGGUCAGGAGAUGUUCCCAGCUGCCGUGCAGUGAGCUAGGGGCCCCUCGAGUACACUCUGGGCAAUGUCCGGGUGAGUAGCCCUUCCCCGCCCAGCUCCCGGGCAGCUGCUGAAUCUCUUCCCAGGGCUCAGGCUGCUGUGUCCAGACCAGGACCCGGGUUUGGAGCAGAGCAAGCACUUUCGCACUGGAUCUUCCAGAAUUGCGGGGCCCGGCCUGACACUCAGCCUGUGGCUCUGUGAUGUGAGCCGCCACCCCCUCACCAGAUCGGGCUCUGCAGCAGUAGGCUCCUCUGAGACCCUCUCUCACAGGCCCGGGGGGCCCGGCCCUCUUUCCCUCCGCAUCACCGAGGGAGGUGUGAGAGAGACGCUCCUGGGGGCCCGGCCCUCCUUCCCUCCCCGUCACCGAGGGAGGUGUGAGAGAGACGCUCCCAGAUGGUGGCCCAGUGCCGGUCCUCCUGGUCUCGUCCAAACACCUCGCACACCACAGCUGCCCUGACGCUCGGAGCACGGCUGGCGGGACCCUCCAAACAUGGUCCCGAGGCAGGGUCUUACCCAUCCACCACUCCUGGGAUGUGAGAGAAAGGGGAGGCCGGUCUAACCCAAUAUGUAGAUUAAAGGAAAACAUUCUAGGCAAGGACAGAGCACUUAGGAGGCUGGGAAACUUUCAGGAGAGAAAGAUGAAGCUACGUUCAUCAGUGUUGUAAAUGUGAAUGCUCUUCCUUCAUUUUAAGCCUACUGGGUUGUUUUUUUCCACUUUUUUCUUUUGAUGACAAGCAUUCAGUUGCCGUCUCUCUCAAGUCCUAAGUGUGGGAAACAUAACUAAGGCCGUCCCGUGAUUACGGACAAUUCUUCAGCUUACUGACAAUCUGCCCCUCUGUUUCCAGCCCCUCUUUCCAGGGAGGUGCCAGCUGUGCCUAGGCUGUGGGGCUCCCUUUCCUGGGACCCUUGGCCUCUGGGUCAGGUUUGCCCAGAACCCCCGGACUUCCUGCCUCUGCCCAAUAGAGGCCGCGGGGGUGGGGCUGUGUUUGGGAAGGUGCCCGGCCCUCUGCCUUGUUCCCAGACUGACUCUGACGUCACCUGGGCCUGGUGGGCAUCUCCAGGCUGCCGCCCGGCCGAUCUGGGUCCAGGCCUCUGUGCCGACUCACUUGUCCCACACCCUGGCUCUCAAAGGCCACCCAGGCCCUGGGAGGCCAGCUGUGCCCUGGUUCCUUGCCUCAAAGCCUGGCCUGGGUGUCCCCUCCAGGACAGCUUCCUCCCCAGGGACUGGCUGUCACCACUGCCGGCAGGUGAGAUUCCUCUCCCUCUGCCAUGUGCCUGGCUGGGGGCUGGGAGGGGAACAGGGACCUGGCAGGCAGGAAUGUCCCAUGUGACCGAGCGCCCUGGGCCAACUGGGACAUAAAACCUCGGCCAGCCCCUCCCAAGAGUGGAGGCCCAGGAGCCAUUCAGUUGGCCCUGGGUGAAGGUAAACUGAGGCCCGUGUGCUGGGAAGCCCCAGCCAUCUCAGAUCGGGUUCCGACUGUCACCCCUGUAUGAUGUGAAGGUACUGUGAAUCCUGGGGAGCUCAUUUCCUUUCCCCCAAAUGUCACCUGCUCCCACCCUGAGCCCCCUGUGCCCCCACGGCAGGCGUGGCUCCUCACCCCCAGGGAGACGCCAAAUCCUCCUGUGAGGUGUGCUGAGCCACAUUGAGUGUCCCAGGGUCCCAGAGCCUUCUGGACAGCCAGGCAGGCGCGGCUGCUCACUGGGCUGUGGAAUGAGCCGGGGCCCUGGCUGCGCUCUCCCUCGGGCCCUCCUCACGGCGCAGGACGACGUCCACCUGAGACCGCAGAGUACGUGGUCGUCAGAAGCUAAACCCUUGCCUGGCCCAGGGAAGGCCUGAUGGACUCUUCGUCCUGUGGGGACCACGUGUCCACGGGAGGUCACUUGUCCACAGGAGGUCACUUGUCCACGGGAGGUGGCCUUGUGUGAGUGGAACUGUGUCCCUGGUUCCCGUCUCUCGCUCUUGGGUGUGGCCUUCCUGGCAGACAGGACCUUUCCGAAGGCAAGUGGGUUAAAGUUUAGUCAUGGGGUGAGCUCUGGUCCAGCAUGACUGAGGUCCUGAAGGAAAGGGACAUGUGGACACAGACAUGCACUGAGAGGAACGCUGUGGGGACGUGAGGACCCUUCCCAGCCCUGCGGGCACCUUGAUCUCAGGCUUGCAGCCUCUGGGGCUGUGAGAGGACAAGGCCUGUGGCCUACGCUGCUGUGCAGACUCCCAUCUGGAUAGCCAGACCAUCUCCUCCAGGGUCCGGAGGAAGCCCCGAGCCACACCAGACCCCCAGAUGCUUCUGCGGCAGAGGGAAGUCCCUAAGAAGCUUGUCACCCGGUGAAGGCCUGGUCCAUCCUUGGCCACGAGCCAGAGGCUCUGCCCAGGACCCUCUUUCUGGUCCCAGCUGGCACGGAGGAGGAGAGCAACCACAGCUGACACUCCCACAAAACCCUGUGUCUCCAGGCGCUGGAUCACUCAGGAGACCAUCCCCUGUCAGGCGCUGGAUCAGUCAGGAGACCGUCCCCUGUCAGGCGCUGGAGCUGCCAGUGUGGGCUGAGCUGGCGCGUCGAGGUGUGGGAAGCAGCCCAGGCUGUGGUUUCCAGGACACACCUCACGCUCGCACUGGCACGGCUGGAGAACUCCCACACCUGACCUGCAUGCACCAGUGCUCAAGCCAUCCCUUCAGAGACACGCUUGCCUGGACCCGCGGGAAAGGCUCACUGUGAUGAUGCAGCCUCGUCUGGGGCUAGAGGCUCCCUGGGACCAACAGCCAGUAGGGACACAGCGUGUCCUGAGCCACGGGGCCACACAGCGUGUCCUGAGCCACGGGGCCACACAGCGUGUCCUGAGCCACGGGGCCACACAGCGUGUCCUGAGCCACGGGGCCACACAGUGUGUCCUGAGCCACAGAGCCACAGUCUGUCCUGAGCCACAGAGCUACAGGACCUUGGGUGACAUCUGACUCCCCCCGUCCCCAGCAUUUUCUACAAUGUUGCAAUGAGCAUCGCUUCCCACCUGAGACAAGAAAUUGCUCCUGAGGAAAACAGUAGCAGGCUGCCACUUUACAUGCAAACCAAGCAAUGCACACAGAGGGUUUUGUUUAGUUCUGGAGGAUGCAUCAUGGGAUGCAGCAUCCUGGGCUGACAGGACCUAGGGAGGGCCCACGGCUGGGGGUGCUUCCCAGGACUUCAGCCCUCCAGCUGGGUGCUACUUCGGCUCCCAACUGCCCACGUCUGGAGUCCACGCCCAUGCUUCCUCUUUCAUGCGCGUCCGUGUGAAGAGACCACCAAACAGGCUUUGUGUGAGCAACAUGGCUGUUUAUUUCACCUGGGUGCAGGUGGGCUGAGUCCGAAAAGAGUCAGCAAAGGGAGCUAGGGGUGGGGCCGUUUUAUAGGAUUUGGGAAGGUAAUGGAAAAUUACAGUCAAAGGGGGUUGUUCUCUGGUGGGCAGGGGUGGAUCUCACAAAGUACAUUCUCAAGGGUGGGGAGAAUUACAAAGAACCUUCUUAAGGGUGGGGGAGACUACAAAGUACAUUGAUCAGUUAGGGUGGGGCAGGAACAAAUCACAAUGGUGGAAUGUCACCAGUUAAGGCUGUUUUUACUUCUUUUGUGGAUCUUCAGUUACUUCAGGCCAUCUGGAUGUAUACGUGCAAGUCACAGGGGAUGCGAUGGCCUGGCCUGGGCUCAGAGGCCUGACAUCCUCCCCCUGCCCAGUGGCCUCUGCCCAGAGAAGCUAACCAGCUAAGCAGUCACCAUGCACACUGCAUUUAUUUUUUAAAUAAAUGUUUAAUCUUAGGAUAGCUUUAAAUUUACAGAAACCCUGGAAAGAUGGUGCAGAGACUUCCCAUGUGCCCCGCCUCAUGGAGGGGCUCUUUCGGUUGACAUAACUGUGGGUGUUUUGUCUUGAUUUCUUUGUUCAUCUGAGCACUUCCUUGCUUUCUGGCACUACAAGAUGCCCCAGUCACACCUUGUGUGUUUUUUGCCCCAGUCAUAGGAUCGGGAGCCCUGGCUGCUUUUACUGGAGAAGGGUGUUUGUAAGCCGAGGUCUGGGUGGUAGGGUGCUCACCCCUCCUGGGGUGUCACUGAUUGCAGACCCCCUCUGCCAACAGAGCAAGUGAGUGUAUGUGCAUGUACCAACUGCACUCACACCUCAAACGUAUGUGCGUGUACUAACCGCACGCACACCUCAAACGUCUGUGCGUGCACUAACCGCACGCACACCUCAAACGUCUGUGCGUGUACUAACCGCACUCACACCUCAAACGUAUGUGCGUGUACUAACCGCACUCACACCUUAAAUGUUUCCAUGUGACCGUUCGUGAGCAGGCUAGAGCAGCUCCAUCUCAGAUGCUAGUCCAACAUGUUGGCUUCUGAUUAACCCCAGCUCCAGGGAUGUGUAAACCAAAAAUGAAGUUCUAAGUCCCUCCAACCAUUUUAAUGGGCCCCUCCUCUCAGCCAAGGGCAUUCCAAAGUAAACCUAAAAAACCAGUUCAGGCCAUGUUGGGAUGGGGUGGGUUGGACGUACUCAUGACACCCUCCCCCUUUUGGAAUUCAGGCACAGGUGAUCAACAUUAAUGUUAAACAGAGACCUGAAGAAUUUGUAGCAGUAAAACACCAAAUUCCAGCCUGACUGUAGUUUAGCAUCACAUGACAGAGAUCAGGCCCUGAAAGAAAUCAAAGUAUUUUACCCUAAAAUCUGUUUCUUUGACAUAUUUUGCAAUGGCCCUGCAAAGCUGUCCCUCAUGGGGAAAACCUGCAUACUGUAGAGAAUCCUGUUCCCUUUCCAAGUCUUUUCCCUGAUCCAGGAGAGAAUUAACUAAGAGUCUGGCACAUUUUUAAGUCUGAUAAGAAACAUUUAUAACCUAUUGUCUCUGAAGCCAGCUACCUGGAGGCUUCAUCAGCAUAAUAAGAACCUUGGUCUCCACAGCCCCUUAUCCUAAUCCAGACACUCCCUUCUAUGGAUUCCAGGUCUUUAGAUAAACUCUUUCAACCAACUGCCAGUCAGAAAAUCUUUGAAUCCACCGAUGAGUUGGAAGCCCCACCCCUUCCAGUUGUCCUGCCUUCCCAGACCUAACCAACUGAUUGAUGCCUUAUGUCACCCUAAAAUGCCUAAAACCACGCUAUAGUCUGACCACCUUGCAUACAUAUUCUCAGGAUCUGUUGGGGCUGUGUCAUGGGCCAUUGGUCACUCAUAUUUGGCUCAGAAUGAAUCGCUUCAAAUAUUUUACAGAAUUUGACUCUUUUCAUUGGCAAAUUCCUCUAAGAUUUCUACUUUAUCUACUGUUUCCAUAAAUCCUGCCCUCAGGUCAAAACAACCUCAAUCACAAUGCUGCCCUCAGGCAGAUUCACAGAGCGGCCUUGCCUUUCCCUGAAGGGUUGACUUCAAUUUUCCUGGAAGUCCCUUCCCUGUGGGGUAGAAGUCCCGGGUCUGCGGGGUGGUGGCUGGGGAUCCACCAUCUCAUCAUCCUGGGUCUGCGGGGUGGUGGCUGGGGAUCCACCAUCUCAUCUGGUAGCUGCCCAGGACAUUUGUUCUGUUUUUUGAGAUGGAGUCUCACUCUAUUGCCAGGCUGGAGUGCAAUGGCGCGAGCUAGGCUCUCUGCAACCUCCGUCUCCCAGGUUCAAGCAAUUCUCUUGUCUCAGCCUCCCGAGUAGCUGGGACUACAGGUACAUGCCACCAUGCCCAGCUAAUUUUUGUAUUUUUAGUAGAGAUGGCAUUUCACCAUGUUGGCCAGGAUGGUCCCGAUCUGUUGACCUCGUGAUCCACCCGCCUCAGCCUGCCAAAGUGCUGGGGUUACAGGCGUGAGCCACCACGCCCGGCCUAAAUGUUUCUUUCUAAGAAACUGGAUUUGUUAGCCUCUUUCUUUGGCCUCUCAGCUUCCUCAGCCCCAGGGGUAGCUUUGCAUAGACCAGCUCACCAUGGAAGAGUUUGUAUCUACAUGAAACUAAAUUUGCACGCAUGCUGAGGCUCCAGCUCUAACCCAGCACCACAUGCAAUUCCAGCCCCUCCUUCCUCAUCUGUCACCUCCCACUGCAUGGUGAGGAACCCAGCUCCCACCAUCCACCAUCCGUGCACUUAAUUGUUCGAUUCCAGUGUGCAUGCACAGCAGCAUCAAAACCCAAUGUAAGAGUCUCCGGAAUAUCUUAUAGUUGAAAUCACAGAGCCUGUAAGUUCAGACUGGCUUCUUUCACUUAGCAAGAUGCAUCUAAGAUUCACCCCAUCUCUGCAUGGCUUAAUAACUUACUGCUUGACCUCGGUCCGACCACGGCCUGAGAAAUGACCAGCACCUUCCUCUAACAGCCUCCGUCAAACAGCCCUUUCAGCAGAGAGCAAACCAUCACUUUGCAAGUCACCAGGAGAGAGUGUCCAGGCAUUGGGACUGAGCAGGACACUCUCUCUGCUGGAGCACCCUAGAUUCUGGCUUCGGGAUGACGGAGACUCAGGAGGUUUUACUCCCCCUCCCACCUGUUAUCUGCAGAGAGCACCCUGCCCUGAACUCACCCCACCAGCUGGGGCAAGUGGUGUGAACCCCGCGAGGACGUCCCACGGCCUGUGUGACCCGGCACCCAGCAGGACGCAGGCAGCCCAGCCACUGUCACACAGUCACGGGAAAGGCCAGGGGACCUGGGGACUGUGGCCCAGAGCUGAUAGCAGGAACCACCUCCGUUAGGCAGAAAUGAUGCACGAAGCCGCAGGUGCACUCAUGGAACCAGGGAAAGUGUUCCAGUCUAAGUUUAUCUGGGGGAAGUGGAGGUUAUAAAACAGGAAAUGUGUAUAAUGAAGCACUCAGAUUUUAAACUGAUGGCUUUGCACACCUUUUUAUUAGCUAACGGGCAUAAAUGAUGCCUCAUAUCUUUCCUUGUAUUAAUUUGUGGCAUGAUGUAAGUGGCUUUGGCAUCUGAGGGAGAAUCUGAACUCCUCUGUGUUCUGAUACAUGCUGUUCCCUGAGUCGACUCCCGGCUGCAGCCCUGCAGGGCAGUGCGGGGGUAUUGUCUCUUCAAGCACAUGGGGGUCCUGGGGAGGGGAGAGCAGCCGCCGUGUGCAGCCGUGUCUGGAAGGGUCUGGGGUGCCAGGGUCUGUCCAGCCACUGGUCAGCAGGCUUUACCAGAGGCUACUCAGACCACCCUAAAAUCAGGAGAGGACAGCCAGGCGCAGUGGCUCAUGCCUGUAAUCCCAGCACUCUGGGAGGCCGAGGUGGGUGGAUCAUGAGGUCAGGAGUUUGAGACUGGCCUGGCCAAUAUGGUGAAACCCCGUCUCUACUAAAAAUACAAAAAUUAGUCGGGCGUGGUGGCGCAUGCCUGUAGCCCCAGCUACUUGGGAGGCUGAGGCAGAAGAAUGGCUUGAACCUGGGAGGUAGAUGUUGCAGUGAGCCGAGAUCGUGCCACUGCACUUCACCCUGGGUGACAGAGCGAGACUCUGUCUCAAAAAAAAAAAAAAAAUCUGGAGAGGACAUCAGGGCUGAAGAAAGGGCUCACUGGCCCCUGAGGCCUGCUGGGGCCUGACUCAGGCCUGAAGCCGUGCUUCCUGCCCUGCGUGGAGCAGAGGUUGUGUGGACCAGCACUCCACAGCCCAGGGUGCCGAGUUCCCCAGGGAGAAUGCACAGCUCCUAGGUGCUGACAUUUGUCAGUGAAGGGCUUGAAAUAGGCUGUUCUUGCAGACUGACUUUAAGUUAAAGACACUUGAAACACAGCAGGUGCAACCAGGUCACUUUGACCUUUGUGCUGUUUCUUAAAAGCAGAAGAUGAGAUUCCCAAGUGGAAAACACCAGUCCUAUACUAGAAGGAAAGGCAACGUCUUUAUCUUCCAGGACAAGAAGUUCAAGAAUACAGUAUUCUCUUCAAGGACAGAAUACCCUUGAGACCUUGUUAGAAUAACUCAUCUUUCCAGCUUCCUGUUUCAUUCCAUUGUAUGUUGCUAUAACACGACACCACAGACUGGUUAACUUACAAUGAACAGAAAUGUAUUUGGCUACUGUUUCUAGAGACUGGGGAAGCCCCAGGGCGUGGUGCUGGCCUCCAGCAAGGGCCUUCGUGCUGUGGCAGCCCAUCGGGGAGGGCAGAAGGACUACAGAAGGCAACAACAAGGGGGCAGGAGGGGAAACUCACGUUCCUAACAAGCAUAUUCACAAUAAUGAACCCACUUUGACACUAAUCUGCUCACGAGGACAGGUCUCGAGACACGAGGGCCUCACUGGGAGGCUCAGGGGAUGGAGGUGGAGAAACAGGAG
RNAcentral lists this long non-coding RNA (11281 nucleotides) under Homo sapiens (human). RNAcentral's name for it is "HSALNT0170545". The record is from RNAcentral. Lineage: Eukaryota; Metazoa; Chordata; Mammalia; Primates; Hominidae.